GACGAACGCUGGCGGCGUGCCUAAUACAUGCAAGUAGAACGCACAGUUUAUACCGUAGCUUGCUACACCAUAGACUGUGAGUUGCGAACGGGUGAGUAACGCGUAGGUAACCUGCCUGGUAGCGGGGGAUAACUAUUGGAAACGAUAGCUAAUACCGCAUAAUAUUGAUUAUUGCAUGAUAAUUGAUUGAGAGAUGCUAUUGCAUCACUACCAGAUGGACCUGCGUUGUAUUAGCUAGUAGGUGAGGUAACGGCUCACCUAGGCGACGAUACAUAGCCGACCUGAGAGGGUGAUCGGCCACACUGGGACUGAGACACGGCCCAGACUCCUACGGGAGGCAGCAGUAGGGAAUCUUCGGCAAUGGACGAAAGUCUGACCGAGCAACGCCGCGUGAGUGAAGAAGGUUUUCGGAUCGUAAAGCUCUGUUGUAAGAGAAGAACGGGUGUGAGAGUGGAAAGUUCACACUGUGACGGUAUCUUACCAGAAAGGGACGGCUAACUACGUG
Molecule: ribosomal RNA, 505 nt
Filed under: uncultured bacterium
Lineage: Bacteria
Description: partial 16S ribosomal RNA
Rfam family: Bacterial small subunit ribosomal RNA
Source: RNAcentral